This 449-nucleotide ribosomal RNA is filed under the name uncultured bacterium. RNAcentral describes it as "partial 16S ribosomal RNA". It matches the Rfam family "Bacterial small subunit ribosomal RNA", at positions 29 to 523 of the family's 1533-position model. The record is from RNAcentral.
AAUGAACGCUGGCGGCAGGCCUAACACAUGCAAGUCGAACGGAUCCUUCGGGAUUAGUGGCGGACGGGUGAGUAACGCGUGGGAACAUACCCUUUGGUACGGAAUAGCCUCGGGAAACUGGGAGUAAUACCGUAUGUGGUCGAGAGACGGAAGAUUUAUCGCCAAAGGAUUGGCCCGCGUUGGAUUAGGUAGUUGGUGGGGUAAUGGCCUACCAAGCCGACGAUCCAUAGCUGGUUUGAGAGGAUGAUCAGCCACACUGGGACUGAGACACGGCCCAGACUCCUACGGGAGGCAGCAGUGGGGAAUUUUAGACAAUGGGGGAAACCCUGAUCUAGCCAUGCCGCGUGAUCGAUGAAGGCCUUAGGGCUGUAAAGAUCUUUCAGGUGGGAAGAUAAUGACUGUACCACCAGAAGAAGUCCCGGCUAACUCCGUGCCAGCCGCCGCCGUAA